AGAGUUGAUCCUGGCUCAGGAUGAACGCUGGCGGCGUGCCUAAUACACGCAAGUGAAACGGGUAUCUUCGGAUACCAGUCGCGGACGGGUGAGUAAUACAUAGGCAACCUGCCUUUAUGAGGGGGGAUAACCGAGGGAAACUUUGGCUAAUACCGCAUGAAGACUCUAAGGCAUCUUAGAGGGAUAAAAGUUGGGAAACAACGCAUGAAGAUGGGCUUAUGGCGCAUUAGCUAGUUGGUGAGAUAGAAGCCCACCAAGGUAAUGAUGCGUAGCCGACCUGAGAGGGUGAACGGCCACAUUGGGACUGAGACACGGCCCAAACUCCUACGGGAGGCAGCAGUAGGGAAUUUUCGGCAAGUGGGGGGAACCCUGACCGAGCAACGCCGCGUGAAGGAAGAAGGUUUUCGGAUUGUAAACUUCUGUUAUAAGGGAAGAACGGAUUGGAUAGGGAAUGAUCUGAUAGUGACGGUACCUUAUUAGAAAGCCACGGCUAACUACGUGCCAGCCGCAGC
Molecule: ribosomal RNA, 512 nt
Filed under: uncultured bacterium
Lineage: Bacteria
Description: bacterial SSU rRNA
Rfam family: Bacterial small subunit ribosomal RNA
Source: RNAcentral